AGCGAACGCUGGCGGCAGGCUUAACACAUGCAAGUCGAGCGGGCACUUCGGUGUCAGCGGCAGACGGGUGAGUAACACGUGGGAACGUACCUUUCGGUUCGGAAUAACGCUGGGAAACUAGCGCUAAUACCGGAUACGCCCUUUUGGGGAAAGGUUUACUGCCGAAGGAUCGGCCCGCGUCUGAUUAGCUAGUUGGUGGGGUAAUGGCCUACCAAGGCGACGAUCAGUAGCUGGUCUGAGAGGAUGAUCAGCCACACUGGGACUGAGACACGGCCCAGACUCCUACGGGAGGCAGCAGUGGGGAAUAUUGGACAAUGGGCGCAAGCCUGAUCCAGCCAUGCCGCGUGAGUGAUGAAGGCCUUAGGGUUGUAAAGCUCUUUUGUCCGGGACGAUAAUGACGGUACCGGAAGAUUAAGCCCCGGCUAACUUCGUG
RNAcentral lists this ribosomal RNA (433 nucleotides) under uncultured bacterium. Its description in RNAcentral is "partial 16S ribosomal RNA". It matches the Rfam family "Bacterial small subunit ribosomal RNA", at positions 29 to 507 of the family's 1533-position model. The record is from RNAcentral.